ACAUGCAAGUCACAUGCAAGUCGAACGGAAAGGCCUCUUCGGAGGUACUCGAGUGGCGAACGGGUGAGUAACACGUGGGCAAUCUGCCCUGCACUUCGGGAUAAGCCUGGGAAACUGGGUCUAAUACCGGAUAGGACCUCAAGACGCAUGUCUUCUGGUGGAAAGCUUUUGCGGUGUGGGAUGGGCCCGCGGCCUAUCAGCUUGUUGGUGGGGUGACGGCCUACCAAGGCGACGACGGGUAGCCGGCCUGAGAGGGUGUCCGGCCACACUGGGACUGAGAUACGGCCCAGACUCCUACGGGAGGCAGCAGUGGGGAAUAUUGCACAAUGGGCGCAAGCCUGAUGCAGCGACGCCGCGUGGGGGAUGACGGCCUUCGGGUUGUAAACCUCUUUCACCAUCGACGAAGGUCCGGGUUUUCUCGGAUUGACGGUAGGUGGAGAAGAAGCACCGGCCAACUACGUGCCAGCAGCCGCGGUAAUACGUAGGGUGCGAGCGUUGUCCGGAAUUACUGGGCGUAAAGAGCUCGUAGGUGGUUUGUCGCGUUGUUCGUGAAAUCUCACGGCUUAACUGUGAGCGUGCGGGCGAUACGGGCAGACUAGAGUACUGCAGGGGAGACUGGAAUUCCUGGUGUAGCGGUGGAAUGCGCAGAUAUCAGGAGGAACACCGGUGGCGAAGGCGGGUCUCUGGGCAGUAACUGACGCUGAGGAGCGAAAGCGUGGGGAGCGAACAGGAUUAGAUACCCUGGUAGUCCACGCCGUAAACGGUGGGUACUAGGUGUGGGUUUCCUUCCUUGGGAUCCGUGCCGUAGCUAACGCAUUAAGUACCCCGCCUGGGGAGUACGGCCGCAAGGCUAAACUCAAGGAAUUGACGGGGGCCCGCACAAGCGGCGAGCAUGUGGAUUAUUCGAUGCAACGCGAAGAACCUUACCUGGGUUUGACAUGCACAGGACGCG
RNAcentral lists this ribosomal RNA (952 nucleotides) under Mycobacterium avium. RNAcentral's name for it is "bacterial SSU rRNA". It matches the Rfam family "Bacterial small subunit ribosomal RNA", at positions 42 to 999 of the family's 1533-position model. The record is from RNAcentral. Lineage: Bacteria; Bacillati; Actinomycetota; Actinomycetes; Mycobacteriales; Mycobacteriaceae.